This 1478-nucleotide unclassified non-coding RNA is filed under the name uncultured fungus. RNAcentral's name for it is "sequence contains 18S rRNA gene, ITS1, 5.8S rRNA gene, ITS2, 28S rRNA gene". The stretch from base 554 to 1478 matches the Rfam family "Eukaryotic large subunit ribosomal RNA", at positions 1 to 961 of the family's 3401-position model. Lineage: Eukaryota; Fungi. The record is from RNAcentral.
GGAAGGAUCAUUACCGAGUGUGUCCGUUAAUUCGGACUCCUCCCACCCUUGUGUAUUUCUAUGCUGAUAAGCAGCUUCGGCGGGCCGUUUCUUUUUUUUUUUUGAAUGAAUCUCUUCGGAGUGUAGUCCAAAAGGAAACAUCGGCCCUCAAAAAGCGGAUUUGCGCCCGCCGAAGGACCCAACUCUUGAUAACUUGAAGUCUGAUAAAAAACUUGAUAAUAAAUCAAAACUUUCAACAACGGAUCUCUUGGUUCUGGCAUCGAUGAAGAACGCAGCGAAAUGCGAUAAGUAAUGUGAAUUGCAGAAUUCAGCGAAUCAUCGAAUCUUUGAACGCACAUUGCGCCUCCGGGUAUUCCUGGAGGCAUGCUUGUUCGAGCGUCGUUAAAGACCAUAAGGCUUUGCCUUGCGAUGAGCUGUCGAAAAGACUCCCUUUGGGGGAUCUAUCGACAGCUUCAAACUGAUUGGCGUCUGAAGUUUAGCCCAAGCACAGCAAAAUGUGUCUGAAAGUUGAACGACAAAAGACUUUGCCUUGUACACCAAAUCAUUUAAAGGUCGACCUCGGAUCAAGCAAGAUUACCCGCUGAACUUAAGCAUAUCAAUAAGCGGAGGAAAAGAAACCAACAGGGAUUGCCUCAGUAACGGCGAGUGAAGCGGCAAGAGCUCAAAUUUUAAAUCUACCUUUUCGGUCGAGUUGUAAUUUGUAGAGGAACGUUCGGUGAUGUCUAGGUCUGAGUCUUCUGGAAGGAAGCGCCGAUGAGGGUGAGAGCCCCGUACGACCAAUGGCUUAGCCGUGUGAACGUCCUUCGAAGAGUCGAGUUGUUUGGGAAUGCAGCUCAAAGCGGGUGGUAAAUUCCAUCUAAAGCUAAAUAUUGGCCAGAGACCGAUAGCGCACAAGUAGAGUGAUCGAAAGAUGAAAAGCACUUUGGAAAGAGAGUGAAAAAGUACGUGAAAUUGUUGAAAGGGAAGCGCUCGCGACCAGACUUGAUCGUUCAGUUCAAGGGUUCUUUUGGACCCGGCACUUCUGUCUGUAUCAGGCCAACAUCAGUUCGGACGGUCGGAUAAAAGCUUUGGGAACGUGGCUCCUCGGAGUGUUAUAGCCCUUUGCACAAUACGGCCCGACCGGACUGAGGCAUGCCUUUUUGUAGGAUGUUGGCGUAAUGGUUGCCAGCGGCCCGUCUUGAAACACGGACCAAGGAGUCUAACAUCUAUGCGAGUGUUUGGGUGAAAAACCCGCACGCGAAAUGAAAGUGAACGGAGGUGUGAGCUUCGGCGCAACAUCGACCGAUCCUGAUGUCCUCGGAAGGAUUUGAGUACGAGCAUAGCUGUUGGGACCCGAAAGAUGAUGAACUAUGCGUGAAUAGGGCGAAGCCAGAGGAAACUCUGGUGGAGGCUCGCAGCGGUUCUGACGUGCAAAUCGAUCGUCAAAUUUGCGUAUAGGGGCGAAAGACUUAUCGAAUCAUCUAGUAGCUGGUUCCUGC